GACGAACGCUGGCGGCGUGCUUAACACAUGCAAGUCGUACGGUAAGGCCCUUUCGGGGGUACACGAGUGGCGAACGGGUGAGUAACACGUGAGUAACCUGCCCACAACUUUGGGAUAACGCUAGGAAACUGGUGCUAAUACUGGAUAUGUGCUCCUGCUGCAUGGUGGGGGUUGGAAAGCUCCGGCGGUUGUGGAUGGACUCGCGGCCUAUCAGCUUGUUGGUGGGGUAGUGGCCUACCAAGGCGGCGACGGGUAGCCGGCCUGAGAGGGUGACCGGCCAAAUGGGGACUGAGUUACGGCCCAGACUCCAACGGGGGGCAGAGGUGGGGAAUAAUACCAAAGGGGCGGAAGCCUGGGGCGACAACGCCGGGUGGGGGAUGGCGGCCUUCGGGUUGUAAACCGCUUUCAGCAGGGACGAAGCUUUUUGUGACGGUACUGGCAAAAAAAGCACCGGCUAACUACGG
This 464-nucleotide ribosomal RNA is filed under the name uncultured bacterium. RNAcentral's name for it is "partial 16S ribosomal RNA". It matches the Rfam family "Bacterial small subunit ribosomal RNA", at positions 28 to 506 of the family's 1533-position model. The record is from RNAcentral.